Molecule: ribosomal RNA, 730 nt
Filed under: Microbacterium hydrocarbonoxydans
Lineage: Bacteria; Bacillati; Actinomycetota; Actinomycetes; Micrococcales; Microbacteriaceae
Description: bacterial SSU rRNA
Rfam family: Bacterial small subunit ribosomal RNA
Source: RNAcentral
GCUCUGUGGGAUCAGUGGCGAACGGGUGAGUAACACGUGAGCAACCUGCCCCUGACUCUGGGAUAAGCGCUGGAAACGGCGUCUAAUACUGGAUACGAACCACGAAGGCAUCUUCAGUGGUUGGAAAGAAUUUCGGUUGGGGAUGGGCUCGCGGCCUAUCAGCUUGUUGGUGAGGUAAUGGCUCACCAAGGCGUCGACGGGUAGCCGGCCUGAGAGGGUGACCGGCCACACUGGGACUGAGACACGGCCCAGACUCCUACGGGAGGCAGCAGUGGGGAAUAUUGCACAAUGGGCGAAAGCCUGAUGCAGCAACGCCGCGUGAGGGAUGACGGCCUUCGGGUUGUAAACCUCUUUUAGCAGGGAAGAAGCGAAAGUGACGGUACCUGCAGAAAAAGCGCCGGCUAACUACGUGCCAGCAGCCGCGGUAAUACGUAGGGCGCAAGCGUUAUCCGGAAUUAUUGGGCGUAAAGAGCUCGUAGGCGGUUUGUCGCGUCUGCUGUGAAAUCCGGAGGCUCAACCUCCGGCCUGCAGUGGGUACGGGCAGACUAGAGUGCGGUAGGGGAGAUUGGAAUUCCUGGUGUAGCGGUGGAAUGCGCAGAUAUCAGGAGGAACACCGAUGGCGAAGGCAGAUCUCUGGGCCGUAACUGACGCUGAGGAGCGAAAGGGUGGGGAGCAAACAGGCUUAGAUACCCUGGUAGUCCACCCCGUAAACGUUGGGAACUAGUUGUGG